UGCACCCCAACCGAUAACUCCAGCAUGCUUUAGGAUAGCUGGUACAGCAAUGCUUCCAAUUGCAGAAGCUCCAGUCAAGAACCUUGUUGCAGUCACCCAACUUUUCCCAUUAUCAGAUUCAGAUAAAAGAGAAUAACCGUCGGAGCCAGCAAGAAACAUCAAAGGCAUUGGAAUGAGUACAUACAUUAUUAAUGCAACAGCAAUGCAAUAUGUCAGCAUAUGAUUAAAUGAAGCAAUAUGAUCUUUCUUCUUUGAAUAAAAGAAGGGACAGGAAAAUCUCCAGCCUCCCUGCUUGUACACACUUGAACAUAUACAUUAUGUCAAGUAUGCAUUUAAGCAAUAAACAAGUGGGCUCAUUG
Molecule: long non-coding RNA, 359 nt
Organism: Hibiscus syriacus
Lineage: Eukaryota; Viridiplantae; Streptophyta; Magnoliopsida; Malvales; Malvaceae
Exons: 2
Source: RefSeq, a predicted model, not a curated record